UGUAGUUGGCCGGGGUUGGAGCUGUCAGUGUUGUAGGCUGAGUUGUGAGCUCAGUUGAGCAGUAUACGUGAAUUUUAACGAACUAUCCAUUAUAAAAAAUACGUUAAGGAGUGUGGUGGUUGAUUGGCGGUGCAGAUACGAUGGUUCAAGAGGUGCUACCAGUGGACUUUAAGGUCGAAGAGAAGUACGGGGACGGAUGUCAAGAAGACAGCGGAAAGAUCGCAACUGACGUCAGAUAUCAUAUUGUCCAGAAACCGGAGAGAGAAAGGAAAGACGACGUUCAGGAGUUUUGCCGGAAGAACGGCGACAAUAAUGUAAUAGACUGUAAAAUGGGUUUAGUUCGAGGAGAGACGAAUAAAGGGCACAGUGUCUUCGAUGAGAUACAUCCGUAAAUGUUUGUUUGCUGAAAUAAUUUAGGCAUGAAGAAUAGGUAAAGUUGUGAAAUGAAUGUUAUUAGGUGAGGUGUAGAGCUAAAAAUUGUUCAUAAUUUACAAAGAAAUAAUUGUCACCUUCGUUACAUAAUACCUGCAUUCUUUUCAAUAUACCAGAUAAAUAUUUAGUCUUAAGUAGGUCAAUAUGUACAGAGGGAAGUAAAGAAUGUGGUAGUAAUAAAUGGUUGGCUCCUGAUGUAUGUAAUUUGACCUUUAUACUUUUGUGAGAUUGAAUAGGGAGACGUAUUUGUGUAACCUAAAGACUUUACCUAAGUAACUAAAUUAAACCUACUUACAAGUAAGGUUGAUGUAGGUAUGUAUUCCGGUGAAUAGUUAGUGUCGCUUUUGAGGUCCCACAGACAUUAGGGUGUCCCCAAAACAACUUUCAAUAGGACACUCUUACGUUCACUAUUUUUCAUGUUUGUAAUUCAUACUAGUGUAAAAAUAUAUAUAUGGGCAUCUCUGUAGAGGUCAUAUAGUGACAUUAGGGUGUUGUAUUAUUAAUACAUUUAUUUGCAGGGUUGACAUACAUAGUGAUAACUCGGAGAGGGAAUAUUGAUGCGCCAGUGUUCAUAACGUUUGCAUGUAUUACUGGUAUAGGGGAUUUGAGGUACACAAGUGGUCAGUGUGUUUACCUUUCCUGUUAUCACUGGCGUGAUGGUGUUACUAAAAAUACUAGACAGUGGUAGUGUAAAUAUAUAUGACCAAAUGGUA
This is a non-coding RNA of Procambarus clarkii (red swamp crayfish), 1145 nucleotides long. The record is from RefSeq and is a predicted model, not a curated record. Lineage: Eukaryota; Metazoa; Arthropoda; Malacostraca; Decapoda; Cambaridae.